RNAcentral lists this unclassified non-coding RNA (356 nucleotides) under soil metagenome. RNAcentral describes it as "partial contains 5.8S ribosomal RNA, internal transcribed spacer 2, and large subunit ribosomal RNA". The stretch from base 1 to 120 matches the Rfam family "5.8S ribosomal RNA", at positions 35 to 154 of the family's 154-position model. The record is from RNAcentral.
GAUGAAGAACGUAGCGAAAUGCGAUACGUAAUGUGAAUUGCAGAAUUCAGUGAAUCAUCGAGUCUUUGAACGCACAUUGCGCCCGCCAGUAUUCUGGCGGGCAUGCCUGUCCGAGCGUCAUUUCAACCCUCGAACCCCUCCGGGGGGUCGGCGUUGGGGAUCGGGAACCCCUAAGACGGGAUCCCGGCCCCGAAAUACAGUGGCGGUCUCGCCGCAGCCUCUCCUGCGCAGUAGUUUGCACAACUCGCACCGGGAGCGCGGCGCGUCCACGUCCGUAAAACACCCAACUUCUGAAAUGUUGACCUCGGAUCAGGUAGGAAUACCCGCUGAACUUAAGCAUAUCAAUAAGCGGAGGA